GGCUCAGUGGUAACGAACCCAACUAGUAUACAUGAGGAUGCAGGUUUGAUCCCUGGCCUUGCUCAGUGGGUUAAGGAUCUGGCAUUGCCAUGAGCUGUAGUGUAGGUCGCAGACGAGGCUCGGAUCCGGCAUUGCUGUGGCUCUGGCGUAGGCUGGCAGCUGCAGCUCUGAUUCAACCCGUAGCCUGGGAACCUCCACCUUCAAGGCCCUGUCCUUUCCUGUUAGCUGUGUGCAUACAAGAGAGAAAAGCAACUUCCUGCCCACUGGUUGUCUUUACUCUUGAGUGAUAAGUGGGAAGACCCCCGUGGUCCCUUCAGCCCGAGCCUUUCCCCCUGAGGCUGGGGCUGCAAGGUCCCGGGAUUUGGCCCAGGUGGCCUGCAUCCUCAGCAAGCCUGUUGGAGUCCUGCCUCCACCCUCCUGGCAUCACAGUCCCCUUGACUCUUGCCAGCAUGACUUAUCAGAUUGCUCUGACCAAUCGGCCUUUCCUGACGAAUUACGCAAAGGGCCAAUGAAAAAUUAGUGUACAAAGAGAGUCAAAAAGAAAGGAAAAAAACAGGUUGCUGAGCAACCCAACUCCGUAAGCAGUAAGCAGAGGGAGAUGCUAUUUUUACACCAGGAAGGUGGCUGCAGUUGAUUUUGUAGCAAACUCCUGGCCUCAACCACUGGAGUGACCUCCUGGAAACCUCCCAAUGAACUGCAGAGCCACCAACUGCCUAGGGUAGGUCUCUGAUGAAAUGAGGCCUCUUCAGAAAGGGCUCCACAGCAAUUAUGUCUCUCAGAGUGCCCUGUGCUCUUCCUGCAGAGCACACAUCAACGUUUGUAAUUAUAAAGGUAUUUGCUGGGUUUUGUGAAAUCUCCCUCUCUGCACUGGACUGGAAGCUGGCGGAGGGGAGGCACAGGGCCUGCUUCUCUUCAUCACUGUUUAUCGCCAGCAUGUAUUACACCGGCUGUUCACAAUAGGUCUCAAUCUUUGUAGAAUGAAUUGAUGAAUGAGUGGAAAUUAGAUUGAUACUAGUACGUUGGAUCUGAUUGUCAUGAAAUGUCAUCUCUAGUCAAAAUGUGGGAGACCAUUAGGAUUUCAAAGGUUUUUCUGUAAGUUGCUAACAGAAGUAUUUUUCAACAACAAAAUACCUAAAUGCUGGUACCUGCUGUGUGCUGUCCCCUAAAUUAGCCAGCAUGCUUGCACUGGGAGCACCCAGAUCUGUGAGUCGCCAUGCUAUGUGACCUUGGAGCUCAGCUGGGAAAGAGAAGAUGAGCCAGGCAUGUGGGCUCUUCCAGGGGGCCUGCGCAGAACAGCAGAGCAGGGGAAGGGGCUGGGGUGCCCACCGCUGGGGGAGCAGUAGCUGUGUGGUCCUGGGAGGCCUCCGGAUCAGGUGCCUCAGAGAGGAGACCUAAGAAGCGAGGGGCGGCUGUGCAGACACAGCAGACCCUCCCCUUGCCCUGGCUGUGCCCCAACACCGCCUUCUUGCUCACUCUCCUGCUCCGGCUCCUCACCUUUCCCGCCAGCAGAUGCUGGGAGGCCCUGCCCUUCCGUUUGGUGGGUUCCCCCCUCUCCUCUGUCUACACACACCUGUCUCUGGGUGGUUUCACCCAGACUCAAGUUCUUAAAUCCACACACAAAUGUCUCCCCUCUGGAACUCAUCUCCAGACCUCAGUUUGUAAACCUAGCUGCGGAAGCCCUGGCCAAACAGCAAUGAUUUCUGCAUUAAGCUUCCAGACACAGAGGGGUCAUCCUUUCUCUAGGCAAUUUGUUUCACUCCUGGACACUCUUGAGUUGUGAGGAGGGUCGUUUGCUUCUCCAAGUUCCUUUUGGUUCUGGAACCCCAAAAUGCCCACAUUCUUGUCCAACUGAUGGUUAAACAUCUCAAGGUAGCUAUUGUGUGUCUUUUAGCUGCCUCCUUGUAUGUUUCCAGACCUUUAAUAGAUACUUGAUACGUGCAUGUUAAGUGUAAAGCAUGGCGCUAGGUGCUUUGGUUACUGAAAUGAUGGUCACAGAGUCUGUCCUCUGGCAUCUCGUGGCUCGGUAGGGGCAACAGGCUUUGUCCUGCAUGAGCUAGGACAUGGUGAACGUGCUGCAGCACCGACCCCAAAUGCAAGGGGGCCAAUCAGACGAAGUGCUGCUGAGGGGUGUCCGGGUGGCGGUCCAUGUGGUCUCAGGGCGGAGCAGGCCUGUGGAGGGUCAGUAGGACUCAGACGUGGGAGGCUGGGGAGGCUGAGAGACUGUGCGGGAGAAGGUAGGAGGGACUGGCACAAGGGGCCAGGAGGAACUCUUGUUUUGCUGCUCGAGGACCCUGGGUGCCUUAGUAGUUCUCUGGGCCUUUGUAAUGAACUAGGCAGCUUCAACUACAGAAAUGAAAAGUCCCAAGGUCUGGAGACCAGAUGCCUAAAAUCCUGGUAUCGGCAGAGCCGUGCUCCCGAGGGCUCUCGAGGAGGACCCUGUCUUACCCCUUCCAGCUUCCCGUGGCUCCAGUGGGAAUUAGGUAGGAGGGUAGUCUCAAGGCAAACAUAUACUUCUUUGAAAUCCAAGCUAAGGAAUUCAGUCUUUAUUCCUUAGGCCUGUGGCUCUAAGUCUUGGCUGUUCAUCAGAAAUACCUGGAAAUCUUUUAAAAAUGCUGAUGUCUGGAUUCUGCACCCAACCUGCAUCAGAAUCUGCCUAGGUGUUUCUGACACUUAACCGGGCUUAGAGCCACUCCUCUGGCUGACCAGGACCUGUUUCUCUCCUUAUGACAUCAGUUUUAGGACACCUCGAAGUCUCGAACAGUCACACCAAAGUGUUUUCUAGAGUUUCCAUUCUAAAAUAUUGCCCUCCAAAUGGAGUAUAAUCCCCACAAGAUUGUGUGGCCAGCCCAAGCACACUGGGAUGAUGGUUUAUUUUGUUCUGUUUAUUCCUCCUCUCUGGAUGCGGUACAAUGGUGGUCUUUUUCACAGUAGCCAGAUCUGCUCUUGGCUCCAUGCAGUUUAUGGUCUAUUGAAACUCUUCCCACAUCUUUCCACAUGAAUGGCUAUAAAUCCAGGUUUUCCCUAUCCAGUACUUGUGCAAUUGAUUUUUGGAUCCUAAAUACAGGCCUUGACAAUAUAUCUGUUUAAUUUCAUCUUGCAGUUUAAGUCAAGUGUUCUAGCCUGUUGAGGCCUUUGUAGUUCAAGUCUGUCGUUUAUCAUGUUAGCAACAUCUCAUAAGUCUGUCAUCUGCGGAUUUGAUAAACAUGCCUUUUCGGGCUUCGUCCAAAUUGCUGUAAACCAAGUUAAACAUGUCUCAGAGAGAGAUAUAUGAUAUUCCUCAGCGUCUGACCUCCAUUGGCAAAUACUCUUAGUUCCUAAAUCAGCUGUCAUUGAGCCAACUCUUAAUCAAGCCAUAUUUUAUUCUCAAAGAAUUCUUUGAAACUUCAGUCAUCUGGGAGGUGUUGCAAAUUUAUAAUUAGUCCCUGAAGUAAAGGACAAGAAGACCAAAUAAUGGCAGGCAAAAUUGACCAGGGUCAUGAACACGUCAUUUGGGCUGUACUGAGUAAACUCAAGCCACAAACAAAGAAUGUUUAUUGUCAACUUUGAGCUGAAAGCAAUCAGUGAGUCAACCAAGCAUCGAGUGACUAUAUGCUAAGAAACAAAUUCAGAGUCCAUAUAUACAAUUUUUGAAGCUAGAAGCUAGAGCAUAGUAUUAAGUUUGCUGCAAUUCCAAACCCAACUUAUGUUCUAAAAAAUACCCGGAAUGUCCACUCAGAGUCCCUUUUUGGAAAGCCUACUGUACAUUUAUCAUGAUACUGCAUGCUCUGGAAUAUAGUGACAUGUGGCCACCCGGGACAAGAGAAGGACAUGAUGAGACGGGGUGAUUGGAGGAGAUCUGCUGCCCAGCUGUGUGGAGGCGUGAAGUGAAGAGUUCAGGCUCCUGAGAAGGACAGAUCUGAUUCAAACACUAGUAUACAGUUCAUUGCUGUGUGACCUCCACCAAAUUAAUGAACUUCUCUGAACGUCAUUCUGACUGUCAGUUAACCAUAACAGAAGCCAAACUAACAAGAUUGUUAGGAUGAAAUGAGAUGCGUGGAGUCUGACUUAGGAGCAGGCCCAGCACAUAGUGGUCAGACACGUUGACUUUUCUAUGAAGGUUUGACAAGUAAAGGCAAUACGUGAACCUGAGCCAAAAAAAGGACGUUAGUAGGAGAUGUGGCAAAUAUUGAAUAGUGACUCUAGACGAGUUAAGGUAGUUGCAUCAAUGUUUGUAUCUUGAUCUCGAUCAUUGGACUGUGGCUGCGUGACAUCUGGGGAUACUGAAGGACACACAGCAGUGCUUUAUAUUUUUUCUGCAACCCUUUUGUAAGUGUGUGAUUGUUUCAAUAUGAGCUUAAAGAAAUGUAAUUAUCAACUCCUUUAAUGUGUGUGUCUAUCACACCGUAUCAGUGUCUCCAUCUUCAGUGGGGAGACUGCAAUAAAAUGAGACCUUUAUAGGACAACACACGGUUGUUACUGAUGAUUCAGUGCGGGUGAAAGAGGCUGGAGAUAGCCAGAGACUGGACUCACCGACCUAGAGCCCCAUGUUAUGUGCCUGGAGACUCUUCCCAAGUUCAUAGUAGCCCCUUGACCAGAAUCAUUGCCGUGCACUGGGGACACGUCUGCGGUUUGGACAUUAUGAGGAUGGCAGUGCAUUUCCCCUGGAUAUUCCUGGGAAGGGUGGGGCUGGACACUCACCAUAGGGUACCCUGUGAACAGUUAAAGGUGAUGGGCAGGGGUGCAGAUACGGCUGCCCGUAGGGGACAGAGGAGCUGGGGACAGAGGCACAGGCUCCAAAUCUGACAAACAGGAACUAGGACCAGAGUCAGGACCGUGAACGCUGGGCCUCUGGGAGGAGUUGGCAAGGCUGAUUACCAACUGCUGCUAGCAUCUUCCCUUAACCAGGGCCGCCACGGGUUCCCAUGGGCAGUCUGGGCUGUUUGCCCAUGGCCCCAUUUACCACGGAGGGCGUGGGGAAAGCAGCCCUGGAGAGGUUUUAUGCAGGAGGUCUCUGGCUCCAUCCUCUUGACCUAAUCCGUGCUCAAAGACCUCACCUCCUGACACCAUCACAGGACACAGAGCUGAGUGACAACCAGCACUUUUGACCCCAGAUCCCUUCACUCCUGAAGCUCUGAUGUGAACUUGUCAAUGACGUGAACCAAUACAUCUCAAAAGAGUUACAAGGACAGAACGUAAAGAAACAAAUGCUUUAAAUGUCGAAUGGUUGUAAUGUAAAUUUGCUCUUGUGUUAUUUGCAAGAGGCCUUCCAAACAUCCUUAAAAUGGGACAGAAAAUCAAAACCCUUUAUAGAACACAAUGGAUGACAUAUUUUCAGACAUUAAAAGGGGCUGAAAAUAAUAUCCGUGGCUGUCAGCCACCUAUAACAUGUUCAAGGUUUGCUAUUUUAUUUUUUAUUUUUGUCUUUUUGUCCUUUUAGGGCCACAACCAAGGCAUAUGGAGAUUCCCAGGCUAGGGGUCUAAUCGUAGCUGUUGCUGCCAGCCUACGCCAGAGCUACAGCAACACCAGAUCUAAGCUGUGUCUGCAACCUACACUGCAGCUCACGGCAAUGCCGGAUCUUUAACCCACUGAGCGAUGCCAGGGAUUGAACCCGCAAUCUCAUGGUUCCUAGUGGGAUUCGUUUCUGCUGUGCCACGACGGGAACGCCAAGGUUUGCUAUUUUAAAAAGACAGUCUACGAGAGAGAAAAUGGGGGGGGGGGUCUUGUUUUCAUCUAAAAUUUGAAAGUGGAUGUGACAAUCUGAGACAGAGGUUAGUGAAUAACCUGAAAUGCUGUUUAAACCUGUCUGCAUGGUACACGGUGGAACUCCCUUCAGAAACAUAAAAGUUAGUUCCCUUGUUUCUUUCUUAAUUUGAAGAUAACAAUGGCCCUUCAGUUUUAGAUAGAGUUAUGGUUAAAGUGAUAGGGAUCUCAGAAUUCCCCUUGUGGCACAGCAAAAAUGAAUCCGGCUAGUAUCCAUGAGGAUGUGGGUUCGAUCCCAGGCCUCGUUAAGUGGGUCGGAGAUCCAGCAUUGCCGUGAGCUGUGGCAUCAGCUGCAGAUGCUGCUCGGAUUCCGCAUUGCUGUGACUGUGGUGUAGGCCAGAAGCUGCAGCUCCAAUUCGACCCCUAGCCGGGGAAUUUCCAUACGCUGCAGGUGUGGCCCC
This 6141-nucleotide long non-coding RNA is filed under the name Sus scrofa (pig). RNAcentral's name for it is "lncRNA (ENSSSCG00060001529.1)". The record is from RNAcentral. Lineage: Eukaryota; Metazoa; Chordata; Mammalia; Artiodactyla; Suidae.